RNAcentral lists this ribosomal RNA (468 nucleotides) under uncultured bacterium. RNAcentral's name for it is "partial 16S ribosomal RNA". It matches the Rfam family "Bacterial small subunit ribosomal RNA", at positions 28 to 507 of the family's 1533-position model. The record is from RNAcentral.
GACGAACGCUGGCGGCGUGCUUAACACAUGCAAGUCGAACGGAAAGGCCCUGCUUUUGUGGGGUGCCCGAGUGGCGAACGGGUGAGUAACACGUGAGUAACCUGCCCUUGACUUUGGGAUAACUUCAGGAAACUGGGGCUAAUACCGGAUAGGAGCUCCUGCUGCAUGGUGGGGGUUGGAAAGUUUCGGCGGUUGGGGAUGGACUCGCGGCUUAUCGGCUUGUUGGUGGGGUAGUGGCUUACCAAGGCUUUGACGGGUAGCCGGCCUGAGAGGGUGACCGGCGACAUUGGGACUGAGAUACGGCCCAGACUCCUACGGGAGGCAGCAGUGGGGAAUAUUGCCCAAUGGGCGGAAGCCUGAUGCAGCAACGCCGCGUGCGGGAUGACGGCCUUCGGGUUGUAAACCGCUUUCGCCUGUGACGAAGCGUGAGUGACGGUAAUGGGUAAAGAAGCACCGGCUAACUACGUG